Molecule: long non-coding RNA, 547 nt
Filed under: Mytilus galloprovincialis (Mediterranean mussel)
Lineage: Eukaryota; Metazoa; Mollusca; Bivalvia; Mytilida; Mytilidae
Source: RNAcentral
GAAAAUUUUAAAGGAGGAGAUUCCGAGAAUAAUAAAGACGGCUAUAAAUCAAGAUAUUGAAGGGGUUUCUAAUAUAACUGCUUCUAACCACUAUAGCUAGGAUUAAUGUAGAUCUGAAAAUAAAUGGGUUAUACGAUUUACUGCAUGUGAUGUGUACUUUAAGGAAUAAAAGUACUUUCUUAUCACAUGAACAAUCAUUUGGGCCGUUAUUGAAAAACCAUUACAAAUUAAUUGUUAAAUAUCAAGCAGUUAUGCCAUUAACACCAUUAUUGUAUCACCUCAUAGUGCAUAUUAACAGAAAAAAGGGCAAAAAUAAAGAACAACUUUAAUAUUGCUUGACAACUGAUUGUUAAAGAUGUAAAUAAAAAAUCUAUUCCAUCCAAUCAUUAUAUUGAAAAGUAGGAUAAAAGUCUGUUAUCAGACCACUGAUCAAUACUUUAUUGCUGAGCUGGCAGUAUUGACUUUCUUUCUUGAUUGUAAAGUCUGAACAAAUAUUUAAAUAGCUGGUGAAGUCUUUUGUUAAAGAUUUAAAAUGUGACUUAACCCA